CUCCGACAACAACAACAACUACUACGACAGCUACAACUGCAGCACCUACAAUGACAACUGCAGCUUCUAUUACAACUGCAGCACCUACUAUGAUAACUGCAGCACCUAUUACGACAACUGCAGCACCUAUUACGAAAACUGUAGCUCCUACAACAACUACUUCUGCAGCUCCUACGACAACGUCUACUGCAUCACCUUCUACAACUGCAGCUCCUACGACCACUACGAUUGCAACAACUACUACGACAACCACAACUGCAGAUCCUACUGCUACAACCACAACUGCAGAUCCUACUACAUUAGUUGCACUUAUGAGCACUACCCCAGCUGAACCUGCAACAACUGUAGAUAAAACUGCUACAACUGCAGCAACUACUACAACUGAAGCUGCAAACACAACCAAACCUACUACGACAGCUACAACUAAUGUUCCUACGACCUCCACAACAGCAACACCUGCAACGACAAUUGCCGCUCCUACGACAACUGCAGCUCCUAUGACAACUACAGCUCAUACAACUGCAUCUCAUACAACAAUAACUGUAUCUCUUUUUACCACUACACCUGUAGCGCUUACUACAGCCACAACAGCAACACCUACAAAUACAACUGGAGCACCUGCUACAGAAACUACAAUUGCACCUACUACGACAACCACUACUGCAACUUCUAUGAUAACUGCAGCUACUCUGACCAAUGUAGCUCCUACGACAACCAGAACUUCAGUUUCUACGACGAACACCACCUUAGCUCCUACGACAACAACGACAACUGCAACUCCUAUGACAACGACAACUCCAGCACCUUAUAUGACAACCGCAACUGUAGCUACAGCAACAACUGUAGCUCCUACAACAAUACUAUCUGUAGCUUCUACAACCACUAAAACUGCAGCAACUACUACAACUGAAGCUCCGAUAAUAACCACACCUACUAUGACAGCUACAACUGAAGCUCCUACGAUUACUUCAACAGCAACACCUGCAACACCAACUGUAGCUCCUACGACAACUGCAUCUCGUACGACAACUGCAGCUACUAGGACAACUGCAGCUCGUAUGACAACAACUGUAUCUCUUCUGAACAUUACACCUGAGGUACCUGCUACUGCUCCUACUACAACUGUAGCUCCUACUACAACUACAUCAGCAGCGCCUACGACAACCACUGCAGCUCUUACUACAACAUUUGUAGAUAUUACAACAACUACAACUAGAGCACUUGCUACAGAAACUACAAUUGCACGUACUACGACAACUGCAGCACCUACGACAACUGCAGCUUCUACGACAACUGCAGCUCCUACGACAACCACAACUGCAGCUUUUACGAGAACUACCACUGCUCCUACUAUCAACAGCACCAUAGAAGCUCCUACUUCCACAACCAUAACUGAAGCUUCUAUAACCACCACAACUGUAUCUUCUACUAUGACAACCACAACUUCAGCUGCCAUAAUGACAACUACAAAUUUAGCUCCAACAAUGGCAACUCCAGCUCUUACAGCCACCACCACCACUGUAGCUUCUAGCAUGGCAAUUCAACCUGCAGGUCCUACAACAACGACCACAAUUGUUGCUCCAACAAUGACUACAACUGCAGCACCUACAAGUACAACCACCAUUGUACUUCCAACUUUUACUUCAACUUCUAUGGUUUCAGGGACAUCAACAACUUCUAUGGCUUCAGGGACGUCAACAACCAGAUUUGGCACAGUGGUGGUUUUUGUUAGACUGGUGUUCCAGCUCAACACACUAGUCCCCACUGAAGAUGAUGUUCUUGGUGUCAUCAACAAGCAACUGUCUCGUCAAUUCAACAUUCAGAGAAGCACUCAGACCACCUUCCAGAAUGCAACUUAUAUCAAACUUACACAUACUUCAUUUGCCGUCGAUCUUGGUUUCAAAAUAACCAAUGUAACCAUGGAGUCUCAAAGAGAUAGACUCACAUUCACCAGCGAGACCUACAACAAGAUACAGGAUUCAAUUAACAGCCUACUCCAUGAAAUUCUUAGUAAACCAGAUGGCAAACAAUUUGUCUUUCCCAAUGCCAACUUCACUAUUGUUGGCACUCAAAUCAGGGCAGACAUCAUGUAUGUAUACAAAGAGGAAGACAUCAAGCUCCCUAGUGCUUUUCUAGAGGAAGUCUUAAAAGUCUCAGGUCUCCUAACAACCACGGUUUCCCCAACAACUACCAGCACCUCACCACUUCCAACCCUUUUGCUGACCACUACUUUCAAUACCACAAGUAAUGGAGGUUUUCCUGGCUGGGCUCUGGCCAUUAUCAUCCCUUGUGGCAUCGCUAUCAUUUUGGUACCUCUGUGGAUCCUGCUAUGUUGCAUGCUAUGUGGCUGUUGUGCAGCUGUAAGGAGACGCUGGCACAGACGUAGAUCUUACAAUGUACAGUACACCACCAGAAACGGUUUCUUCUGAGGUGACAACGCUAACAUCUGUGGGCAACUGUCAUCACAAGAACAACCAAUCAUCUAUAUCUGCUAAUCACGGGACUUUAAUGCAUGGAAAAUUCCUUGUUACUACAUACAAUUGCAUCUGAAAAGAUCAAGUGGGGAGUUGCAUAUAUUUUUAUCAUAAAAAGAAAAUUGAUAAUGGGCUUAAUAGGCCACAUGUUUUUUGUGCAAUGUACUACGUUUUAUAUUAUAGAUAUAUGAUUGUUAAUCAAAGAUACAGCUGAGCUGAACAUGGAAUGUUUAUAUAUUUAUUAGCUAUGUCAUUUGUGGUUUCAAGCUGUGCUAUCCACUUACUAAAACAUUUAUCACUUAUUUAUUUAAUGUGUAAUAAACUAGAUUACAAUAUUUGUUUUUGAGUUUUGUUAUUAACUCUCUUGAUUAACUAUGAACUAAUUUAUUUUAAACUGCAAUACAGUACUUGUUUCUUCAACUUACAGUUUGACAAAUGUAAAAAAAAAUCUUUACAAACCAGUAUUACGUUAACAGUUUAUGAAUAGGUUUG
Long non-coding RNA from Oncorhynchus tshawytscha (Chinook salmon), 2966 nucleotides. NCBI's taxonomy places the organism in Eukaryota, Metazoa, Chordata, Actinopteri, Salmoniformes, Salmonidae. The record is from Ensembl.